Long non-coding RNA from Lutra lutra (Eurasian river otter), 756 nucleotides. RefSeq lists it as uncharacterized. The record is from RefSeq and is a predicted model, not a curated record. Lineage: Eukaryota; Metazoa; Chordata; Mammalia; Carnivora; Mustelidae. The transcript has 2 exons.
CUCUCUCUAUCUCAAUAAAUACAUAAAAAUCUUUAAAAAAUAAAAUAAAAUUUUUUCAAUGAAUCAUUUCUGUCAGCAGAAAUCACAAGUCUUGAUAUUGCAUAUUGUGCUAUAUUUUUAUUUGCUUUAUUUUAACCUGUUUUUCUUUGGUCUUUCAAUAAAUCAAAUAAAUAUAUAUUUUUUUAGAUUCUGAAGGAAAAUGUGGGCCUCCUCCACGUAUUGACAAUGGAGAUAUUACCUCAUUCACGUCAUUAUCAUAUGCUCCAGGAUCAUCAGUAGAGUACAUAUGCCAGUCCUUCUAUGUACUUCAGGGACACAGGACCAUAACAUGCAGAAAUGGACAGUGGUCACCACCACCAAAAUGCUUAGAGGCCUGUACAGUAUCAGAAGACAUCUUGAGAACACAUAAUAUAAGAUUACAAUGGUCUCAUGAGACAAAAAUUUAUACUAGAACAGGGGAUGUUAUUGAAUUUGAAUGUCUCCGUGGAUAUGGUAGAAAGACACCAGAUCAUACAUUCCGAGCCACCUGUCAGGAUGGGAAAGUGACAUCCUGAAUGUGGAUAAAACAGUGGUUAAGAUGCAGUCUUAAAAUUAAAAUAUGUACAUUCACUCAGAAUUUUUCAUCAUCAAUCAAUUCUCAGUUUAUUUUGUCAAGUAUUGUGUAACUCAUUUAUAUUCAUAAAUCAGAAUUUAUAUUAAAUAUUAUGUGGAUGAUGUAAUGAUAAUCAGAGAGAUGAAUAAAUCACUUCUUAAAAU